RNAcentral lists this ribosomal RNA (277 nucleotides) under uncultured bacterium. RNAcentral's name for it is "partial 16S ribosomal RNA". It matches the Rfam family "Bacterial small subunit ribosomal RNA", at positions 28 to 296 of the family's 1533-position model. The record is from RNAcentral.
GAUUAACGCUGGCGGCGUGCAUGAAACAUGCAAGUCGAGCGCGGUCCACGGCGGGGUAACCUACUGUGGAUCUAGCGGCGAACGGGUGAGUAACACGUGAGCAACCUACCUUUGAGACCGGGAUAGCCCUGAGAAAUCAGGAUUAAUACCGGAUGUGGUCACGACAAGGCAUCUUGAUGUGAACAAAGGCGCAAGCCGCUCAAAGACGGGCUCGCGGCUUAUUAGCUUGUUGGUGGGGUGAUGGCCUACCAAAGCGAUGAUGAGUAGCUGGUCUGAG